Molecule: ribosomal RNA, 872 nt
Filed under: uncultured bacterium
Lineage: Bacteria
Description: bacterial SSU rRNA
Rfam family: Bacterial small subunit ribosomal RNA
Source: RNAcentral
GACGAACGCUGGCGGCGUGCCUAAUACAUGCAAGUCGAACGCACUGACAGAGAAACUUGUUUCUCUUGACGUGAGUGGCGCACGGGUGAGUAACACGUGGGAAACCUACCCUUCAGCGGGGGAUAACCGUCGGAAACGAUGGCUAAUACCGCAUAGGUCUUUUAACCGCCUGGUUGAAAGAGGAAAGACGGCUUCGGCUGUCACUGAAGGAUGGUCCCGCGGUGCAUUAGCUAGUUGGUAAGGUAACGGCUUACCAAGGCGAUGAUGCAUAGCCGACCUGAGAGGGUGAUCGGCCACAUUGGGACUGAGACACGGCCCAAACUCCUACGGGAGGCAGCAGUAGGGAAUCUUCCGCAAUGGACGAAAGUCUGACGGAGCAACGCCGCGUGUGUGAAGAAGGUCUUCGGAUCGUAAAGCACUGUUAUUAGAGAAAAACAACCGGUAGAGUAACUGUUACCGGCUUGACGGUAUCUAACCAGAAAGCCACGGCUAACUACGUGCCAGCAGCCGCGGUAAUACGUAGGUGGCAAGCGUUGUCCGGAUUUAUUGGGCGUAAAGGGAGCGCAGGCGGUGACUUAAGUCUGAUGUGAAAGCCCACGGCUCAACCGUGGAAGGUCAUUGGAAACUGGGUCACUUGAGUGCAGAAGAGGAAAGUGGAAUUCCAUGUGUAGCGGUGAAAUGCGUAGAUAUAUGGAGGAACACCAGUGGCGAAGGCGACUUUCUGGUCUGUAACUGACGCUGAGGCUCGAAAGCGUGGGGAGCAAACAGGAUUAGAUACCCUGGUAGUCCACGCCGUAAACGAUGAGUGCUAAGUGUUGGAGGGUUUCCACCCUUCAGUGCUGGAGUUAACGCAAUAAGCACUCCGCCUGGGG